RNAcentral lists this ribosomal RNA (468 nucleotides) under uncultured bacterium. RNAcentral describes it as "partial 16S ribosomal RNA". It matches the Rfam family "Bacterial small subunit ribosomal RNA", at positions 28 to 507 of the family's 1533-position model. The record is from RNAcentral.
GACGAACGCUGGCGGCGUGCUUAACACAUGCAAGUCGAACGGAAAGGCCCUGCUUUUGUGGGGUGCUCGAGUGGCGAACGGGUGAGUAACACGUGAGUAACCUGCCCUUGACUUUGGGAUAACUUCAGGAAACUGGGGCUAAUACCGGAUAGGAGCUCCUGCUGCAUGGUGGGGGUUGGAAAGUUUCGGCGGUUGUGGAUGGACUCGCGGCUUAUCAGCUUGUUGGUGGGGUAGUGGCUUACCAAGGCUUUGACGGGUAGCCGGCAUGAGAGGGUGACCGGCCACCUUGGUACUGCGAUACGGCCCAGACUCCUACGGGAGGCAGCAGUCGGGAAUAUUGCACAAUGGGCGGAAGCCUGAUGCAGCAACGCCGCGUGCGUGAUGACGGCCUUCGGGUUGUAAACCGCUUUCGCCUGUGACGAAGCGUGAGUGACGGUAAUGGGUAAAGAAGCACCGGCUAACUACGUG